Molecule: long non-coding RNA, 826 nt
Filed under: Homo sapiens (human)
Lineage: Eukaryota; Metazoa; Chordata; Mammalia; Primates; Hominidae
Description: HSALNT0405587
Source: RNAcentral
CUGCCAACCCGGAAGGAGCCCGGAGGGGCCCGGGCGGCCAGGGCGCCCCCGCCAGGAGGCCCGCCAGGUGUCCACCUGAGCCCCACGCCCUGCGCCGCGGGGCCCUUUUGGGGGCGGGGUGCCAGCUCCGAGGUGUCCUCCCACGGGCUGUAGACUGGGAAACUGAGGCCCGGGCCACGGUCCCAGACGCAGCCGGGACCCGAACCCACCUCACCUGAGCGAAUGAUAUCCGGGACUCAUCCUUUUUCGACACCUUUGCGGGAUCCAGCCCUCCAAGGAAAGCUUCCUGAGCAGUGCGCGCCACGUGUAUUGGGCACCUCACCGCGGCCACUUCACAUCCUAUCUCAGGUGGAGAAACUAAGCCACAGAAAGGAGCUGUCAUUUACCUAAAGCACCGUGGCAGGGGUUUGGCAGAGCCAGGAUUUGUACCCAGAUCGCCUGACUUCGGAGAGUAACAGCUCUUAACCACAGCACUUCGGUCUAUGCCUUGAUUUCACCAUAUGUAACAAGCAGCUGUGCCACUUUGCAUUCCCACCAGCAGCACGCAAGCGUUCGAAUUUCUCCGCACGCUCCCCAACAGGACAAGAGCUUGCCGUGUUGCCCCAGGCUGGUCUCAAACUCCUAGCCUCAAGCAAACUUCCUGUCUCGGCCUUUCAAAACCCUGAGAUUACAAGCAUAAGAAAAGAAAAUCUUGUAAGAUGAAAGCUGAAGGAUGAGAGCAAUUAAUUGAUGAAGUAUGAUGAUCCAGGUGUCCCUGGGUGAAGAAACAACCUCUACAAAGGCCCUGAGACAGGGUCUCGCUCAUCACCAGGCUGGAGUACAGUGA